This is a non-coding RNA of Rattus norvegicus (Norway rat), 1321 nucleotides long. The record is from RefSeq and is a predicted model, not a curated record. NCBI's taxonomy places the organism in Eukaryota, Metazoa, Chordata, Mammalia, Rodentia, Muridae.
CAGGUGAAAGCAGGUACAAGAUAGAACAAGAAUGAAGGAUGGGCAGGAGAAAAGUUUUAGAGAGGGGAGAAGACUAGAGCAAGGGAGAGGAGCAGCCAAGAGAAAAUGGAGGCAGAUGUUAAGAUUCCUCUCUGUACAUUUACAGGUUGUUAUGAAUAUUCUUAAGGAAUGGAUGUACACAAGGCUUUGUAUGUCUAGGUGGGCAAUUAUAUCUUAUCAAUUGGAUCAGAGAUUAUUGUGUUGUGUGUUCUUUCAAGUGGCAAUUUAAUUGAAUUCAAGAGAGUAUGUGGUGGCUGGAGACACUGGGCCUCCAUGGAAUUGGGAUGUAUAUGUCUGACAUGGUGGCAACCUGUCUUGGGAACUAGAUGAGUAGAGAGAUUGUUGCCAGACUCAGAGAAUAGCCAUCAGCAGUGUGCUAUGGAGCAAAGUGCUGACUGGGAUGAUAUCUACCAGAUAUUUUGGGGCACUACAGUGCCGGACCUAGUGCAGGAUAAAAGACAGCAUUUUUAAUAAUUUUACAGUAACAGUGAUGUGGUCCGAAAAAUUAAUAAUCAGAAUCUCCAGAACUUGUGAUCACAUGCUUUGUAUGGCAAAAAGGAAUUAAGGAUAAAGGUAGAAUUGGUGUGCUCAUCAGCCUUGAAAUAGUGACAUGAUUCUGGGUUUUCUGGACAGACCUAAGGUAAUACUAGGGUCUUUAUAAGUGGGAGCUGCAGGCAGAGCUCAGAGUGCUAUGAAAUGAGAGGGUUCUGUGGCUCCACAGGCUUUGGAGAGUGAGGAACUGGCAUAGCGCAAGGAGAGCUGUGGCCUUUUGUGAUGGUUUGUAUAUGCUAGGCCCCAGGGAGUGGCACUAUUAGGAGGUGUGGCCUCAUAGAGUAGGUGUGGCCCUGUUGGGGUAGGGGUGUCACUGUGGGCAUGGGCUAUAAAACCCUCACCCUAGCUGCCUGGAAGCCAGUCUUCUGCUAGCAGCCUUCAAUGAAGAUGUAGAACUCAGCUCCUCCUGCACCAUGCCUGCCUGGAUGCUGCCAUGAUCCCACCUUGAUGAUAAUGGACUGAACCUCUGAACCUAAACUAGUGUGAUCUGGACAGUGCUACCCUGUCUGUGUGAAUGGGAGAUAGAGGACUCCAUCUGACAACUCCAUCAGGGACAUUGUGACAUUGCCACCAGGUGCACACACGUCAUGUGUGAAGGUCAGAGGACACCUUGGGUGAGGCGUUUCUCUUCUCCUACCAUACUGGUCCCUCAGACUCAGGUCAUGGGGUUUAGUGGCAAAUGCAUGUACUCACUGAACUAUCUCACUAAAGAACCUCUGCUGAGAUCAGA